GCGCGAGCAGCGUGUGCUUUAUUUGUGUCUUUUCGACUUUUGUGCGGUUGACCAUGGCCCAAUACGUGUAUACUAGGCAGAACUGUACAGUUGCGUGCUGAAAUUUCGAGCUGUGCUUCUGACUGCUAUUUGUGGUACGUUUGUUCGCCUUGCGGAGCGCUUACGGGAAUACUCGGGAGGCAAUGUUUUGAUGGUUAAUUUUCACACAUGUUUGUAUCGCUUGGUUUCCUGCGUUCCUCUUCAAGUGUCAGGGAUAUUUCUCAAUUGCAAUGCCUAUCUCUAAGUCUCUGGCAGCAUUAUGUUAUUGGCACUUUUGUGAUCUGAGAAGCUGCCUGACCAAGUUGCCUAUCAAGAUGAACAUUCCAUAUCUGGAUUCUGCUUGCGUGGAAUUUAUUUCACCAUAUAUUUUUCAAUGCAGCUAGAAAUUACUGGCUUCUAUCUUGAAUCCGGUGGCCCCAGAAGCAAGUGCUGGCAAGCAGGCCAUGCGCUUUGGUCAUUAAUUAGUAUGUUAUACUACCUCUUACUAAUCAGUUUUAUUCUUUUUAAUUAUAAUUGUGGCACUGUGCCUACUAGUCAUUUUGUGCCUACUCGUUACUUGUGUUUUAAUGAAGUUUAAUUUUCAAGAAUCUGUUUUUGAUUACGUUUUUUUUUUUUUCGAUCCGCGUUUAACCUGUUUGUAUACAGCGAGAACAUGUAAUGAAUAAUUUCAUACAUGUGCGUGGCUGGGGGCCGAUCAUUUUUGUAAUGAAGCUUUAUCAGUUGUAUAAAUAAAAAAGUAACAUUGGUAUGA
This is a long non-coding RNA of Dermacentor silvarum, 790 nucleotides long. RefSeq lists it as uncharacterized. NCBI's taxonomy places the organism in Eukaryota, Metazoa, Arthropoda, Arachnida, Ixodida, Ixodidae. The record is from RefSeq and is a predicted model, not a curated record. The transcript has 2 exons.